Rattus rattus (black rat) is the source of this 144-nucleotide small nucleolar RNA. RefSeq annotates it as small nucleolar RNA SNORA48. The record is from RefSeq and is a predicted model, not a curated record. The transcript has a single exon. Lineage: Eukaryota; Metazoa; Chordata; Mammalia; Rodentia; Muridae.
AUCCCUUGGCCAUGAGCAAAGAGACGGCAUGUUGGUGUUGCUGUUAUAUCAGUCGGGGACAGUGCCGUUGGCAGCGAUCCUUUGCUCAUCCUAGCUUGAUGUCUGGCUUGGUGGCCAAGGCUGUUUUAUACCUAGGGUACAUUA